CAGCCGCCGCGGUAAUACAGAGGGUGCGAGCGUUAAUCGGAUUUACUGGGCGUAAAGCGUGCGUAGGCGGCUUUUUAAGUCGGAUGUGAAAUCCCUGAGCUUAACUUAGGAAUUGCAUUCGAUACUGGGAAGCUAGAGUAUGGGAGAGGAUGGUAGAAUUCCAGGUGUAGCGGUGAAAUGCGUAGAGAUCUGGAGGAAUACCGAUGGCGAAGGCAGCCAUCUGGCCUAAUACUGACGCUGAGGUACGAAAGCAUGGGGAGCAAACAGGAUUAGAUACCCGAGUAGUCCAUGUCUCUUAUAC
RNAcentral lists this ribosomal RNA (301 nucleotides) under uncultured bacterium. RNAcentral describes it as "partial 16S ribosomal RNA". It matches the Rfam family "Bacterial small subunit ribosomal RNA", at positions 509 to 807 of the family's 1533-position model. The record is from RNAcentral.